UACGUAGGGUGCAGGCGUUAAUCGGAAUUACUGGGCGUAAAGCGUGCGCAGGCGGUUUCUUAAGUCAGAUGUGAAAGCCCCGGGCUUAACCUGGGAACUGCGUUUGAAACUGGGAGACUUGAGUGUGGCAGAGGGGGGUGGAAUUCCACGUGUAGCGGUGAAAUGCGUAGAGAUGUGGAGGAACACCAGUGGCGAAGGCGACUCUUUGGUCUGUAACUGACGCUGAGGCGCGAAAGCGUGGGGAGCAAACAGG
RNAcentral lists this ribosomal RNA (253 nucleotides) under uncultured bacterium. RNAcentral describes it as "partial 16S ribosomal RNA". It matches the Rfam family "Bacterial small subunit ribosomal RNA", at positions 524 to 776 of the family's 1533-position model. The record is from RNAcentral.